This 250-nucleotide unclassified non-coding RNA is filed under the name plant metagenome. RNAcentral describes it as "partial contains small subunit ribosomal RNA, internal transcribed spacer 1, and 5.8S ribosomal RNA". The stretch from base 210 to 250 matches the Rfam family "5.8S ribosomal RNA", at positions 1 to 41 of the family's 154-position model. The record is from RNAcentral.
GUAGGUGAACCUGCGGAAGGAUCAUUAACAAAUCUGUUGUCGGGGAUGUGCAGUAAAAUGUGUGUUCCUGUACAAAUAUCAACCGGGCGCCCGCGAGGGUGUUCGCCCCAGUGUGUGUUUGUGGGGGUGCCCCGUGUGCCUAUCAUGCGCGCACGCUGGAAAAUAGACGCUAGUAUGUGUGUAUGUCUUGUACAAUUAAAAUUAUAAACAACUUUUAACAAUGGAUCUCUUGGCUCUUGCAUCGAUGAAG